Non-coding RNA from Triticum urartu, 135 nucleotides. The record is from Rfam. NCBI's taxonomy places the organism in Eukaryota, Viridiplantae, Streptophyta, Magnoliopsida, Poales, Poaceae.
CAUGUACUCCCUCCGUUCCGAAUUACUUGUCUUGGAUUUGUCUAGAUACGGAUGUAUCUAGACUCAUUUUAUUGCUAGAUACCUCCGUAUCUAGACAAAUCUAAGACAAGUAAUUUGGAACGGAGGGAGUACAGU